UCGAGAAUCUUCGGCAAUGGACGCAAGUCCGACCGAGCGACGCCGCGUGCGGGAUGAAGGCCUUCGGGUUGUAAACCGCUGUCAGUUGGGAGGAAAUCCAUGAGGGUUAUCCCUCAUGGUUGACCUAUCUUCAGAGGAAGUCCGGGCUAAGUUCGUGCCAGCAGCCGCGGUAACACGAACCGGACAAACGUUAUUCGGAAUCAUUGGGCUUAAAGGGUGCGUAGGCGGUGCGGUAAGUGAGGUGUGAAAUCCCACGGCUCAACCGUGGAAUUGCGCCUCAUACUGCUGUGCUAGAGGGAGACAGAGGUAAGCGGAACUGAUGGUGGAGCGGUGAAAUGCGUUGAUAUCAUCAGGAACACCGGUGGCGAAAGCGGCUUACUGGGUCUCUUCUGACGCUGAGGCACGAAAGCUAGGGUAGCGAACGGGAUUAGAUACCCCCGUAGUCC
RNAcentral lists this ribosomal RNA (446 nucleotides) under uncultured prokaryote. RNAcentral's name for it is "bacterial SSU rRNA". It matches the Rfam family "Bacterial small subunit ribosomal RNA", at positions 355 to 796 of the family's 1533-position model. The record is from RNAcentral.